This 277-nucleotide ribosomal RNA is filed under the name uncultured bacterium. RNAcentral's name for it is "partial 16S ribosomal RNA". It matches the Rfam family "Bacterial small subunit ribosomal RNA", at positions 29 to 333 of the family's 1533-position model. The record is from RNAcentral.
AGCGAACGCUGGCGGCAUGCUUAACACAUGCAAGUCUCACGGGCAGCAAUGUCAGUGGCGGACGGGUGAGUAACGCGUAGGUAUCUAUCCUUUGGUGGGGGACAACCGUUGGAAACGACGGCUAAUACCGCAUGAGGCCUGAGGGCGAAAGCAGUGAUGCGCCGAAGGAGGAGCCUGCGUCCGAUUAGCUAGUUGGUGGGGUAAUGGCCUACCAAGGCUGCGAUCGGUAGCUGGUCUGAGAGGAUGAUCAGCCACACUGGGACUGAGACACGGCCCA